CUGAUGCUAGCUCCCUGUUAGCUGUUAGCUGGACUACGAUCGUAUUAAAGGUUGAAGGAGCGGAUGAUUUAUUAUUAGCGUCUCUUUUCUCGUCUGUACUUGUUCAUGUACAACAGUCACAGGUCUGCUAGUCGUCGCUGGUGCUGACCUGUUUGUUGACUUUAAGCUCUCACAACAAGGCAAAAGAUAUAAAAAGUAAUGAGGACAUAAUGAAGUAUAAAAGCUUAACUGUAACUCUCAGCUAAAUACAUUGACUCAAAUACUUCACUUCAGGACACAUUUAAGGGCAGAGCAACGUGUAGCGUGUGUACAGUAAAUACAGCCGACUGUUAGCUGAGAAUAAAUCAAGGCGACAACGAUAACCUCCAUCUUUAAUUUGAGGGUGUUCACAUCACAUCAGAAAAAACAGCAGGAACAGUCUCUCAUGUUUCUGUUCUGUCAUGUUUCUGUGUAACAGAGAUGUCGGAUACUUCAGAGAAAAAGUGGAAACCAACUCUGACUAAAAUCCUGGAGGAGCUGGACAACAAACAGUACAGAAAGACAAUGGAAUAUUUGGACAAAGUUCCCAAAGGUCAGAAGAAAGGCAGAUCUUUUGCAACGAUGGCCCAAAAAAUAAUUGAGCGCUACGGACAUGACGAAUCAAUUUCUACAAUACAUAAAAUCAUGGAAGAGAUACCGAGGAAGGAUCCGAGGAUGCAGGAACUGUUGGGCCCCUUUGUUGAAGAACUGAGGAGCAAAAAUGAAAAAGGGAGAAAAGGAAAGAAGAGAAAGUGUGAUUCAGUGGAGAAGGAAGACAAUCCUCCAGCAGAGAUGUCGGAUACUUCAGAGAAAAAGUGGAAAGCAACUCUGACUAAAAUCCUGGAGGAGCUGGACAACAAACAGUACAGAGAGACGAUGGAAUAUUUGGACAAAAUCCCCGGAAGUCAGAAGAAAGGCAGAUCUGAAGCAACGAUGGCCCAAAAAAUCAUUGAGCGCUACGGACAUGAUGAAUCAAUUUCUGCAAUACAUAAUAUCAUGGAAGAGAUACCGAGGAAGGAUCCAAGGAUGCAGGAACUGUUGGGCCCCUUUGUCGAAGAACUGAGCAGCAAAAAUGAAAAAGGGAGAAAAGGAAAGAAGAGAAAGUGUGAUCCAGUGGAGAAGGAAGACAAUCCUCCAGCAGGAAAGAAGAGGAAAUGUGAUCAAGUGGAGAAGAAGAAGAAAAAGCCUGCAGAAGGUCAAAAGAGCAGCCAGCCUGUCAAGGAGACAAACGCUGAUCGUUGGAAGAAAUCCAUCCGUGAGCUGAAGUCCAGCAGUGCACUUCUUGACACUGAUGGCAUUGUUGGGAAAGUUGUUCAGAAAUCUGGUGUGCGCAGUUAUCGAACCAAAGAAAAUGUUAAAAAGUAUUUUUUUUAUCUGGCAGUCGCUGAUGAGACGGCCAGCAUGAAAUUGAUGGUGUAUGGAAAACCAUUCUAUAAACAAAUCAUGGAAGAGAAGACCUACAUGUUCAGGCAGCUAACCAAAGAUGAGAACGUUUUUAAGUUUCGCUCACAGAGUAAAUACUCAGAGACGAAACCUGUUCAAGUUCCAGACGAGCUUGAGACGGAAGCUCGGGAGCUGAUUUAUCCCAAGAGUCCAGAAUACUCCAUUGCUGAAGCCAAACUGUCUACUGACAUCCGUGUGACUGUUACAGGAACCAUUACAAAGAUUGAUCCCAUCGAACCAGCUACAGGGAAGACAAAACAGAAGACGACGCAGCGUUUCCAGAUAAAAGACGACACCGACUCCAUCAGCAUCUGCAUGUGGGGUGAAGACACCAGGCAGUGCAAAGGAUUAUCAGUGGGUGAUGUCAUCCAGGCUACCAACAUGAAGACCAACCGGUACUAUGGCACAAUCUCGCUGAACUCAACUGGAUUCACCAAAAUUCAGAAGGUUCAAAGUGGCAGCCAGAGUGAGAGAAUUGAAAUUGAAGGAAUCGCAAAAGCCACAAAGAAGGAGACUCACCUGGACGCAUUUUUCAGAGACGAGAUGCACAGGUGUGUUGUGGCUUCUCCACUUCUGGCAAAGGCUUUUGGCUUCAAACUGGAGGGUGAUAUAAAAGAAAAGCUCCUUGACAUCAUUCCAAUGUCAGCAGACGCAGUAAUACAAGGAGGUCAAAUAAAAGAACUCACAGCCGCUCCAGUGAAAUAA
Molecule: long non-coding RNA, 2166 nt
Organism: Sparus aurata (gilthead seabream)
Lineage: Eukaryota; Metazoa; Chordata; Actinopteri; Spariformes; Sparidae
Source: Ensembl